UACGUAGGGUCCGAGCGUUAUCCGGAAUUAUUGGGCGUAAAGAGCUCGUAGGCGGUUUGUCGCGUCUGCCGUGAAAGUCCGGGGCUCAACUCCGGAUCUGCGGUGGGUACGGGCAGACUAGAGUGAUGUAGGGGAGACUGGAAUUCCUGGUGUAGCGGUGAAAUGCGCAGAUAUCAGGAGGAACACCGAUGGCGAAGGCAGGUCUCUGGGCAUUAACUGACGCUGAGGAGCGAAAGCAUGGGGGAGCGAACAGG
RNAcentral lists this ribosomal RNA (254 nucleotides) under uncultured bacterium. RNAcentral's name for it is "partial 16S ribosomal RNA". It matches the Rfam family "Bacterial small subunit ribosomal RNA", at positions 524 to 776 of the family's 1533-position model. The record is from RNAcentral.